This 429-nucleotide ribosomal RNA is filed under the name Chloroflexota bacterium. RNAcentral's name for it is "Chloroflexi bacterium partial 16S ribosomal RNA". It matches the Rfam family "Bacterial small subunit ribosomal RNA", at positions 355 to 776 of the family's 1533-position model. The record is from RNAcentral. Lineage: Bacteria; Bacillati; Chloroflexota.
UGGGGAAUAUUGCACAAUGGGCGCAAGCCUGAUGCAGCCAUGCCGCGUGUAUGAAGAAGGCCUUCGGGUUGUAAAGUACUUUCAGUCGGGAGGAAGGUGUCAAGGUUAAUAACCUCACCGAUUGACGUUACCCGCAGAAGAAGCACCUGCUAACUCCGUGCCAGCAGCCGCGGUAAUACGGAGGGUGCAAGCGUUAAUCGGAAUUACUGGGCGUAAAGCGCACGCAGGCGGUCUGUCAAGUCGGAUGUGAAAUCCCCGGGCUCAACCUGAGAACUGCGUUCGAAACUGGCAGGCUAGAGUCUUGUAGAGGAGGGUAGAAUUCCAGGUGUAGCGGUGAAAUGCGUAGAGAUCUAGGUGAAUACCAGUGGCGAAGGCGGCCCCCUGGACAAAGACUGACGCUCAGGUGCGAAAGCGUGGGGAGCAAACAGG